AGAUUGAACGCUGGCGGCAGGCCUAACACAUGCAAGUCGAGCGGUAGAGAGGUGCUUGCAUCUCUUGAGAGCGGCGGACGGGUGAGUAAUGCCUAGGAAUCUGCCUAGUGGUGGGGGAUAACGUUCGGAAACGGACGCUAAUACCGCAUACGUCCUACGGGAGAAAGGCGGGGGACCUUCGGGCCUCGCGCCAUUAGAUGAGCCUAGGUCGGAUUAGCUAGUUGGUGAGGUAAUGGCUCACCAAGGCGACGAUCCGUAACUGGUCUGAGAGGAUGAUCAGUCACACUGGAACUGAGACACGGUCCAGACUCCUACGGGAGGCAGCAGGUGGGGAAUA
Molecule: ribosomal RNA, 337 nt
Filed under: uncultured soil bacterium
Lineage: Bacteria
Description: bacterial SSU rRNA
Rfam family: Bacterial small subunit ribosomal RNA
Source: RNAcentral